AUGUUCAGUUCUAAAGUGGGUAUGUUUCUGCAGCUGGAUCAGGUCUGGAAUAUUCCUAGAACUAAUUCUCAGGUUCCGAGCCCGAUGAUAAUUACUGACCUACUCGAAAUUGUGGAGCAAGGAAAUUCUGUCUCAAAACAUGCUGGGAACUUGGCCAGACGCUGUUACAUGACCUGCUGGGUUGGGAACUGUUUCCUAGCAAUGGUACAAAGACCUAGAGUUCCGGAUUCUCCACCACCAACUCAGCUGUCAUCCUGCACACCUCUGACCCCAUCACCAUCUCAGCUGUCAUCCCGCACACCUCUGACCCCAUCACCAUCUCAGCUGUCAUCCUGCACACCUCUGACCCUCUCUCAGUUGUCACCCUGCACAACUCCGACCCCACCACCAACUCACCUGUCAUCCCGCACACCUCUGACCCCAUCUCAGCUGUCAUCUUGCACACCUCUGACCCCAUCUCAGUUGUCAUCCUGCACACCUCUGACCCCAUCUCAGCUGUCAUCUUGCACACCUCUGACCCCAUCUCAGUUGUCAUCCUGCACACCUCUGACCCCAUCUCAGCUGUCAUCCUGCACACCUCUGACCCUAUCACCGUCUCAGCUGUCAUCCUGCACACCUCUGACCCCAUCUCAGCUGUCAUCCCGCACACCUCUGACCCCAUCUCAGCUGUCAUCCUGCACACCUCUGACCCCAUCUCAGCUGUCAUCCCGCACACCUCUGACCCCAUCUCAGCUGUCAUCCUGCACACCUCUGACCCUAUCACCGUCUCAGCUGUCAUCCUGCACACCUCUGACCCUAUCUCAGCUGUCACCCUGCACACCUCUGACCCUAUCACUGUCUCAGCUGUCAUCCCGCACACCUCUGACCCUAUCACCAUCUCAGCUGUCAUCCCGCACGCCUCUGACCCCAUCUCAGCUAUCAUCCCGCACACCUCUGACCCCAUCUCAGC
This 949-nucleotide long non-coding RNA is filed under the name Macaca mulatta (Rhesus monkey). RNAcentral's name for it is "lncRNA (ENSMMUG00000054342.1)". Lineage: Eukaryota; Metazoa; Chordata; Mammalia; Primates; Cercopithecidae. The record is from RNAcentral.